Molecule: ribosomal RNA, 841 nt
Filed under: uncultured archaeon
Lineage: Archaea
Description: bacterial SSU rRNA
Rfam family: Archaeal small subunit ribosomal RNA
Source: RNAcentral
UUCCGGUUGAUCCCGCCGGACCCCACUGCUAUCGAGAUGGGACUAAGGUAUGCUAGUCGAACGACCAGAACUAUGUCUGGGAGUGGCACACUGCUCAGUAACACGUAGCUAACCUACCCUUAGGACGUGGAUACCCCCGAGAAAUUGGGGUUAAUCCGCGAUAGAUGUAAUGUCCUGGAAUGGUAUUACGUCUAAAGGUAUUUCAUACAUGUUUGAAAUAUGCCUAAGGAUGGGGCUGCGGCCGAUCAGGCUGUUGGUGAGGUAAUGGCUCACCAAACCUUUGACCGGUACGGGCCAUGAGAGUGGUAGCCCGGAGAUGGACACUGAGACAAGGGUCCAGGCCCUAAGGGGCGCAGCAACCGCGAAACCUCCACAAUGCACUCACGUGCGAUGGGGCUAUCUCGAGUGCCACCUGAUGAAGGUGGCUUUUCCUUGGUCUUCAAAGCCUUGGGAAUAAGAGGGGGGCAAGACUGGUGUCAGCCGCCGCGGUAACACCAGCCCCUCGAGUGGUGGGGAUGAUUAUUUGGCCUAAAGCGUCCGUAGCCGGCCGUGAAAGUCUUCCGUUAAAUCCAGCGUCUCAAGCGUUGGACCGCGGGAGAUACUACAUGGCUAGAGAGUGGGAGAGGUCAGCGGUAUUCUGGGGGUAGGGGCGAAAUCCUUUGAUCCCCGGAGGACCACCAGUGGCGAAGGCUGCUGACUAGAACACGUCUGACGGUCAGGGACGAAAGCUGGGGUAGCGAACCGGAUUAGAUACCCGGGUAGUCCCAGCCGUAAACGAUGCAUGCUAGGUGUUGGGUUGGCCACGAGCCACCCCAGUGCCGCAGGGAAGCCGCUAAGCAUG